AGCUAAGUUGCAAGCCCCGUGUCUAAAGGUGGAAGCGGUCACCUCCCCAGCUAGGCUUAGGGAUUCUUAGUCAGCCUAGGAAAUCCAGCUAGUCCUGUCUCUCACUCCUGACUUGGCCUCCCAAAGAGCUGGGAUUAUAGGCAUGAGCCACUGUGGCUGGCCUGACUUUAAACAAAUAUGUUAUAUGUGGUUUGAACUGGAUAUGUUAUAUUAAGCAAGACCAGUCAUAGGGCAAAUCUCUUAUGAGGAUUCCUUGCCUUCCUUCUGUGUGACCCUCUCUACCUUUUAUUUAGGUGGCAGUCAAAGCGGCCAUUCCCCCAGACACCAGAAGUUUGGAAGCAACUAAAAAAUAAGAUGCAGGAAACAGGCGAACACUUAAAUGUCAACUUUAUGGCAGAUCAAAGCUGGAUUGGGGGACACGGUGCAAAUGAGCAGCCUCCAUGAACUUCCUAUCCCAUUCCUGUCACAGCAAAUGUAGACAGACUAUUCAACCAGUCACAGGAGCGCUGCCCUGUCUGAGCAGCCCAGAAUCUACUCUCAGGUAAAAUAUUGGGUGGAGAAAAUAUUACCGGAUGGGAACCAUUCUUCUUGCCGGGAGAGUCAGGCCAGAGAGACUCCAGGAAUGUGGCUCCAAUAGAGACCCCUCCACAGGGAAGCAAGAAGUAGGGGAUGGAGUUUCCAUUUCACAACCCAUAUCCACCCUGUGGGCACUCGCAUUGUUAUUGCUUUCUGAAAUAAAGAACUACCUCACAUCUGCGUAGAAAUCAA
RNAcentral lists this long non-coding RNA (768 nucleotides) under Homo sapiens (human). RNAcentral describes it as "HSALNT0250801". The record is from RNAcentral. Lineage: Eukaryota; Metazoa; Chordata; Mammalia; Primates; Hominidae.